AUUUCGAGUGGCGGACGGGUGAGUAACGCGUGAGCAACCUGCCCUAUACCGGGGGAUACCAGUUGGAAACGACUGUUAAUACCGCAUAAGCGCACGAUAAGACAUCUUGUUGUGUGAAAAACUCCGGUGGUAUAGGAUGGGCUCGCGUAUGAUUAGCCAGUUGGCGGGGUAAAGGCCCACCAAAGCGACGAUCAUUAGCCGACCUGAGAGGGCGACCGGCCACAUUGGGACUGAGACACGGCCCAAACUCC
This 251-nucleotide ribosomal RNA is filed under the name uncultured Shuttleworthella sp. RNAcentral describes it as "uncultured Shuttleworthia sp. partial 16S ribosomal RNA". It matches the Rfam family "Bacterial small subunit ribosomal RNA", at positions 88 to 339 of the family's 1533-position model. The record is from RNAcentral. Lineage: Bacteria; Bacillati; Bacillota; Clostridia; Lachnospirales; Lachnospiraceae.